AUGCAAACAAGGCAAGCUUCUUGGUUCAAUCAAAGUCUCUGAACACAAUGUACAUGUAAGUAGAUCUUUGAUUUCGUCAACAGAAACACUGUCUGAUGAAGCACUUGCCAUUUCAAUGAAAUCUUUCUUACUUUACAAUUUAGAUAACAUAUUUAUGUCUUCUUUCUAGCGAAGUGUCGCAUAAUACCUUGUUUGAAAAUUUAUAUUCGCGGAAAUCUUAAUGCAUUCUUGGAAUCCGGAAACAUAACACUCUCACCCGCGAUCAGGCUGGAGGCAUUUGACCUCAAUACAUUGAUGGAGUUACUUCCUCCUCUGCUUCCUCUAGUACUAUAGUCAAUACUUGGGUUUU
Non-coding RNA from Paramuricea clavata, 349 nucleotides. The record is from the annotation of a GenBank genome assembly. Lineage: Eukaryota; Metazoa; Cnidaria; Anthozoa; Malacalcyonacea; Plexauridae.